Molecule: ribosomal RNA, 256 nt
Filed under: uncultured bacterium
Lineage: Bacteria
Description: partial 16S ribosomal RNA
Rfam family: Bacterial small subunit ribosomal RNA
Source: RNAcentral
UAAUACGGAGGAUCCAAGCGUUAUCCGGAAUCAUUGGGUUUAAAGGGUCCGUAGGCGGUCUUAUAAGUCAGUGGUGAAAUCCCAUCGCUCAACGAUGGAACUGCCAUUGAUACUGUAAGACUUGAAUGCUUAGGAAGUAACUAGAAUAUGUAGUGUAGCGGUGAAAUGCUUAGAUAUUACAUGGAAUACCAAUUGCGAAGGCAGGUUACUACUAAGUGAUUGACGCUGAUGGACGAAAGCGUGGGGAGCGAACAGG